ACUACUUUAUUAGGUAACAAUUCCUCCAUUCACUGCUACUUGUGGUACAUGUAAAGGAUUUGGCCAAAUCAUUAAGGACAAUUGUGGGGCAUGCGGAGGAUCAGGGGUGGUUGAAGGUGUCAAAGAUGUUAAAGUAACAAUACCGGCAGGAGUGGAUUCUGGUGAUGUUAUUCGCGUACCAAAUGCUGGUAAUACUGGUGGACGGGGAAUGCAUCCAGGCAAUCUAAUUAUAAAGCU
Olea europaea var. sylvestris is the source of this 237-nucleotide long non-coding RNA. RefSeq lists it as uncharacterized. The record is from RefSeq and is a predicted model, not a curated record. The transcript has 3 exons. NCBI's taxonomy places the organism in Eukaryota, Viridiplantae, Streptophyta, Magnoliopsida, Lamiales, Oleaceae.